AAUAGUCUAAUACAUUUUUAUGAUUUUCCAACUAGGGUUUGAAACCCCUCUAACCCAAGCAGUCGUCACCCCCUCUUUUGUCCCUUCCCCAUUUCGAUACAAUUCUAGCUGUUGUCAGAUGCAAGACCAAAAGUGUUACACCAUUUCCGUGCAAGCUCUGUUACACCUACUUCAACAUAUCACAAGACCCAUAUGAAGCCAAAAACAUAGCAGACCCGAAUUCAGUCCAAAAUCUCACCAUUUUGAGUACAAAUCUGACCAAAUCACGUGAACGGGCUUCAACUACAUUUCAAAAACUCUAGCCUCAAAAUCCCGCCCAAAUGAAGCCCUAGUUCUUGUUCUCCUAUAAAUACAUCUUUAACUCUUCAGCCAAAAAAAGAGAGGCGGGAAUGAUGAAAAAUCUCUCAUUUAAGCUAUUGUUACUUUUCUACUAGUUCUAAAAGAAAACUUUGGCAUUUUAUUAUUCUCAAUCGCUGAGCGUUUCGACUUUAUUCGAAGAAGAGUGGAUCUGAGACCACAAAGCCUCUGUUCACUGCACCCACAAGAGGUAAUAUUCGUUUCUUUCUAUUUAAUCUCUUCUAUUCAAUAAUGAUGCGUUCAGAAAUCAUGUAGUAAUAGACAUUUGUUACUAUCGUGAUACGUUCAAACCUAUUUUAAGAUCAGUGUAAAUUGCUUAUGUCAAAAAUGACCAUGUUUGAAAUACUAUAAUCGUGUUUAGAGUAUUCUUUCUCUAGCUGAAUCAAAAAAUAUAAAUGAGUUAUGUUUAUGUUUUGGUUGGUGUCAAAUGUGACUUUAGAGCUGUUGUUUUAGGAAUCUUUCUCUAAAUCCCGGAUGUUGUUUGGCCUGUGAUUUUAAUUUUGUUUUUCCGAAAGAUGUAGGAUACUUAUUUUUGUGGUUAAAUAUGUGAUAAGAGUAUAUGACUUGAACUUUCUUUUAUUUCAAAGUUAGAGAUCCUACAUGUACGUUUAGUUAAAUUGGUUGAAAUAUAUUUAAACAUCAUUACAGUUGGAUAUGCAAAUCUGGAUAUUGACAAGUUGUAUUAAAAACAUGACUUAGGAUUAUAUGCAAUUGACUUUGACGCUCAUUUUUAGUAAUGCCUGAUGUUAUAAUCGGUCUCUUACGCUGUCUCAAAAAAUGCAAACUUUGUUUACUCCUUACUCUGAUCUUUACUUUAUUUGUCAUUCGGAAAAAACUUAUUUUAGGGUCUCACUGAAUAGAGAAUGAAGUAUUUAUAUUCUAAUUAGAGAAUUACUUCAGAACCUUUCUAUUAGCAAGAGUUGGAUUUUUUUAUGGUUCUAGUUAUCAUGAUAUUUACAAGUAUUUGUUUCAAAGCUGUGCAUUUCUUCUCUGUUUUUAAUAUUGGCUAAAAAGCAUAUGUUCCUCUCUAACUCGUGUCUACUUUUUUUUCUUUUCACAUGAAUACCGGAGCCGAAGAGUCUUGUUUUGAGACUCAAUGACGCCGCACACGAAGUUAUCCUCAUCAAUUUACCCAUACCCGUAAUCUACCAUGGGAUAUGUCCUGGAGACCAUGGAGAUAUUGUUGAAGAGCUCCAUCUUCCUUUACGAUUCAUGUUAUAGAUACAAACUUUGUUGUGUGCCUUUAACUGUUGCAGUUCAUAUAAGAAUACAUUCAUUGCUUGUUUGACUCCCUACUUGUGGUGAGCAUCUAGUUAAUAAUUUAACUUCAUAGGGAUAAUAUAGGUAUUGCCUCUAGAAUAAACCAUUUAGUAUUUUACAACGUUCAGCUCCCUUUCUUUCUUUCUUUUUCCCCGCAAAAAUCCUAUCUUUUAAAUCAGUAUUGAGUUUAUGUUUUCAAGACUUUAAUAAGUUAAAGGGUGAGCAGAUCUUUGAGUUUAUUUAAGUCAAACUUUGGAGCCUUGAUUUAUUUAGAAAAUUGUUUGCAAAUGGCAUAAAGUCCAGUCAUUGUUUUUGGCCUAACUUGCAUGUUGGAUUACUUUAAUGAUUCUCUCAACGAGGAACUUAAUUUCUAUACGAAGCCAUAUUUUAAAAUAUUGAUUACCUUUUUUUUUUUGUUACUCUUAAUCCUUGAAUUUAUAUGUAAAAGUGUUUUAGCUCAACAUCACAUUUUUAUAACGUCCAUUGGAUUUAUAUGCAAAGUUAGUCACUACCAAUUACUUUAAAUACUAACCCCAUCUUGUUUUGUAAUUGACCGAUUGUUUUAAGCAUUACUACUUAUAUUUUACAAGGCCGUUUUAUUAAAAUUAAGUCCGGUCGGUUAAUCAUUUUUAAUGGAUCUUAAAGGAUGCUUAAUACAUUUUCUUUAGAUUAAUUGAACUCUUACCUAGAAUCUUUUGGUUUCGUAGACUUUAAAACGGAGUAACUUUAGACAAUUACUUUAAUCAACUUUAGGUGCUCUAAUUCAUCAUAAAUAAUUAGGUGGCGACUCCUUUUACUUUAAUUAACCCCGGAAUUACCGGAAUGUUGUAAACCAUUUUGACUUUGGUUAAAACGGGGUAUAACAGCUUGGCGACUCCGCUGGGGAAUUGUUAUAUCCCGCAUUUUGUACGUUCAGAUGAUUCAAGGUAAUCGCGGGAAGUUAGAAGCAAGGCCAUAUUUUUAUUUUGUUUAGCACACAAGUUGCUUAUGAAAAAAUUUUGAAAUGGAAAUAUUAAGAAAGGCUAGGGGCAAAAAGAAAAAUUCGCAAUAUGACUUGUGGAAAUAUGGAGGAAGGCGAAGGGUAAAUUUGGAAUUUGAAAAAAAAAAAAAAUCAUGAAGUGCAAAACAAAAAAAUAGGCUUGGAAAUUAAAAGGGGCCAUUUGGGCCGUUCCAUUUGGAGUGGGCUUAGGCCCACCUAGAAGUUUAAUGGACAAAUAAAAAGAUGACUAAGUCAUCUUAUUCAUUUUAUUCCCUAGAAAUUUCAAGAACUUUAAAGAACAAAAGAGAAGGAGAAAGAACAAGAGGCCAUUCGGCCCUAUGCAAUCCAACAAGAACCUUGGAAAAAAAAGUUCAUCAAAAAUUAUUUUCUUCUAGCUAAACAAUCCAUUGAAGGGUCCUUAGCAAAGUGAAGUGGUUAUUGGAGCAAGAAAAACAUAUAUUCAUACAAGUUGCAAAUUCUAGCCAAGUGAAGAAUCAAGGAAAAAGAUUCUGGGAAGGCCAAGAGUUAAGUCGGAUUGACUAAGGAAGCAGACAAGGUAAGCAGGUAGACGGGUUCGAUUCCUAGGAGCUCCACCAGCGGUACAUUGAGAGCGCUCCAGUUGUUCCAGCGCUUCAGUUUAUUGGUACUACUUUUGUGUACAUACUCGGGCACGGCAGAACCCGACCCUCCUUGUGAUUAUAUGUAUCUGGUUUAAAGGCUCGUAGACAGAUAUGUACAGUCAGAUGUUUCGCAACCUUGUUUGUCCUUGACGCUGUAUAAUAUAUUAGUAAAGUUUAUUACCACUUGUUUACGAGUAUGCUAUUAAUGAUGGUGUCGAGUAAAGAAAUGACGAUAUUGUUCAUACGGCCCACUCAGUAGUAAGACUAAGAUGCGAAGUAAGAGGUGCUCGGUAUAGUAAUAUCGGGUACCCGUCGCGGCCCCUAGUUGGGUCGUGACAGGAAUCACUUAGGUUCUAACCAUAACAGACUUAGUUUAAAUAGGCUUUGUGUUCUUGUUUUAAUUACUUUAUUUGUUGUUAAUUGUUUUUACAUGCUAUUAAUUGUUUGUUUGAUAUAAAUUGUUUACGUGUUACUGUUUUGAUAUAAACUGUCAUCCCGUAUCACUUUUCUCCACAUUUGGAAAUUCACACUAUCAUACGUACACGCGAGGUGUGUUUUGCGCACCCGCAUAUUUCUUUCAAAAUUCCAAAUUUUAGGAGAGUUGGCAUAUGCGCGGGUUGUCCGGAUUGUCCGUGUGACCGUGUAGCCUUCGCACUCGAGUUGUCUGCUCGGGAACCUUGCAUCUAGUGAACCCACUCUUAGUCAACCUAGAGUAGAGCUAAACCAAUACCCUUUAUUAUGAGCAUACAUUUCACGACCUAGGAGGUUUAAUACCCUUGGUGUAUUAAUCCCAUUAGAUGACUUUACCCAAAUGUCCAAGUGGAUCCACGACCCCAAGUGACACUAAUCAUACUUUAUGUGCAUGUUUGAAGGAUAAUUGUGCCUAAAUAUUGACCAUUUUCUCUAACUAAUUAAACUUUUGGGAGGAGAUAACGACUAAAUUUUUAUGACAGGUAUGAAGACCUUACAUUAGAGUACACCUCGAUCAACAACGAAUGAGAAUCGACGACAUCUCAAAAUGGAGCCAAGAAGUUUAGACAUGGCAAACUUGUAUCUACUUUACUUAGAUUAUGAAGUACUUUAUGUUGUAUUCAUUUGAUAUGCAAUAAAUAUUACACUACUUUUGUACUUUAUUUUGAAAAAUAGAAUUU
Long non-coding RNA from Lycium barbarum (goji berry), 4367 nucleotides. RefSeq lists it as uncharacterized. NCBI's taxonomy places the organism in Eukaryota, Viridiplantae, Streptophyta, Magnoliopsida, Solanales, Solanaceae. The transcript has 3 exons. The record is from RefSeq and is a predicted model, not a curated record.